Molecule: ribosomal RNA, 467 nt
Filed under: uncultured bacterium
Lineage: Bacteria
Description: partial 16S ribosomal RNA
Rfam family: Bacterial small subunit ribosomal RNA
Source: RNAcentral
GACGAACGCUGGCGGCGUGCUCACACCUGCCAGUCGAACGGAAAGGCCCUGCUUUUGUGGGGUGCUCGAGUGGCGAACGGGUGAGUAACACGUGAGUAACCUGCCCUUGACUUUGGGAUAACUUCAGGAAACUGGGGCUAAUACCGGAUAGGAGCUCCUGCUGCAUGGUGGGGGUUGGAAAGUUUCGGCGGUUGGGGAUGGACUCGCGGCUUAUCAGCUUGUUGGUGGGGUAGUGGCUUACCAAGGCUUUGACGGGUAGCCGGCCUGAGAGGGUGACCGGCCACAUUGGGACUGAGAUACGGCCCAGACUCCUACGGGAGGCAGCAGUGGGGAAUAUUGCACAAUGGGCGGAAGCCUGAUGCAGCAACGCCGCGUGCGGGAUGACGGCCUUCGGGUUGUAAACCGCUUUCGCCUGUGACGAAGCGUGAGUGACGGUAAUGGGUAAAGAAGCACCGGCUAACUACGUG